This 629-nucleotide ribosomal RNA is filed under the name uncultured bacterium. RNAcentral describes it as "bacterial SSU rRNA". It matches the Rfam family "Bacterial small subunit ribosomal RNA", at positions 110 to 753 of the family's 1533-position model. The record is from RNAcentral.
GUAACACGUGAGAAAUCUGCCCUUGACUCUGGGAUAACUGCGGGAAACUGUAGCUAAUACCGGAUACUUUCCUUGGUGGGCAUCCACUGGGGAAGAAAGAAUUUCGGUCAAGGAUGAUCUCGCGGCCUAUCAGCUUGUUGGUGAGGUAAUGGCUCACCAAGGCGACGACGGGUAGCCGGCCUGAGAGGGUGACCGGCCACACUGGGACUGAGACACGGCCCAGACUCCUACGGGAGGCAGCAGUGGGGAAUAUUGCACAAUGGGCGCAAGCCUGAUGCAGCAACGCCGCGUGAGGGACGAAGGCCUUCGGGUUGUAAACCUCUUUUAGCAGGGAAGAAGCGAAAGUGACGGUACCUGCAGAAAAAGCACCGGCUAACUACGUGCCAGCAGCCGCGGUAAUACGUAGGGUGCAAGCGUUGUCCGGAAUUAUUGGGCGUAAAGAGCUCGUAGGCGGUUUGUCACGUCUGCUGUGAAAUUUCGAGGCUCAACCUCGAACUUGCAGUGGGUACGGGCAGGCUAGAGUGCGGUAGGGGAGAUGGGAAUUCCUGGUGUAGCGGUGGAAUGCGCAGAUAUCAGGAGGAACACCAAUGGCGAAGGCACAUCUCUGGGCCGUAACUGACGCUGAGGAG